This 393-nucleotide ribosomal RNA is filed under the name uncultured bacterium. RNAcentral's name for it is "partial 16S ribosomal RNA". It matches the Rfam family "Bacterial small subunit ribosomal RNA", at positions 523 to 918 of the family's 1533-position model. The record is from RNAcentral.
AUACGGAGGACGCGAGCGUUAUCCGGAUUCAUUGGGUUUAAAGGGUGCGCAGGCGGCCGUGCAAGUCAGCGGUGAAAGCCCGGGGCUCAACCCCGGAAGUGCCGUUGAUACUGCAUGGCUGGAAUGCGGUCGAGGCGGGCGGAACGUGGCGUGUAGCGGUGAAAUGCGUAGAUAUGCCGCAGAACGCCGAUAGCGGGGGCGGCUCGCCAGGCCUGCAGUGACGCUCGGGCACGAAAGCGUGGGGAUCGAACAGGAUUAGAUCCCCUGGUAGUCCACGCCGUAAACGAUGGGCGCUCGUCGUCGGCGGCAGACAGUCGGCGGCCAAGCGAAAGCGAUAAGCGCCCCACCUGGGGAGUACGGUCGCAAGGCUGAAACUCAAAUGAAUUGACGGGG